Molecule: non-coding RNA, 230 nt
Filed under: Streptomyces sp. CB00455
Lineage: Bacteria; Bacillati; Actinomycetota; Actinomycetes; Kitasatosporales; Streptomycetaceae
Description: Streptomyces sRNA 4677
Rfam family: Streptomyces sRNA 4677
About the family: Located in the intergenic region between anti-sigma factor SCO4677 gene and a putative regulatory protein gene SCO4676. scr4677 expression requires the SCO4677 activity and scr4677 sRNA itself seem to affect the levels of the SCO4676-associated transcripts.
Source: Rfam by way of RNAcentral
GGAUCCGGUGGGCCCGGACGUGUAACCCGUUCAAGAACCCGGGCUAAAUCCAACCCACCCCACCCCACCGGCUCCCCGUAACUCACAUGGGUGAAGUGUGCCAACUGGGCUGGAUUCCGGGCCGGUUCGCGGGCAUAUGCUCGCCCCACAACACCAGACAUGAGACGGCCCCCGGCGGGACUGCAAUCCCGGUCGAGGGCCUGACCAAGUAGGAAGUAAACGGCUUCCCC